AAGGAAGUGGGUGGGUGCAUACAUAAAGAGGAGCAGGUGGAAAGACAAAUAGCUUCAGCCUGAAAGCACUUAAAGAGGUGCCGACGAGUUUCAAAGGAACAGAACAUGGAGACGACAAAGGGAUUCUCUGCAAAGCACAUCUCUCAUGCUGUCUCAUCCCACUGGCCCGGUACUCAUCACUUUCCCUCCUGCUCUCCUCCCUCCAUUUAUCUAACCCUCCAUCCACAGAUGGAGAGAUGAGCCAGGCUUCUGACAUCACUGUUAUGCAAUAAGCUUCACACCAAAAAGACAACAAGGGAGAGAAAUUUAAAUAAAGAGCUAAAGAUGAAUUGUUCUGUUUAUAUGUUAAUGCAUGAGGUUGUUUUAUAUUCAAGCAGUGUGGUGAUUGUAGGA
Long non-coding RNA from Melanotaenia boesemani (Boeseman's rainbowfish), 393 nucleotides. RefSeq lists it as uncharacterized. The transcript is spliced from 3 exons. NCBI's taxonomy places the organism in Eukaryota, Metazoa, Chordata, Actinopteri, Atheriniformes, Melanotaeniidae. The record is from RefSeq and is a predicted model, not a curated record.